RNAcentral lists this ribosomal RNA (534 nucleotides) under uncultured bacterium. RNAcentral describes it as "bacterial SSU rRNA". It matches the Rfam family "Bacterial small subunit ribosomal RNA", at positions 777 to 1308 of the family's 1533-position model. The record is from RNAcentral.
AAUAGAUACCCCCGGUAGUCCACGCCGUAAACGGUGGGUGCUAGGUGUGGGGGACUUCCACGUUCUCCGUGCCGCAGCUAACGCAUUAAAGCACCCCGCCUGGGGAGUACGGCCGCAAGGCUAAAACUCAAAGGAAUUGACGGGGGGCCCGCACAAGCGGCGGAGCAUGUGGAUUAAUUCGAUGCAACGCGAAGAACCUUACCUGGGCUUGACAUGCACCGGAAACCUGCAGAGAUGUGGGCCUCUUCGGACUGGUGUACAGGUGGUGCAUGGCUGUCGUCAGCUCGUGUCGUGAGAUGUUGGGUUAAGUCCCGCAACGAGCGCAACCCUCGUUCCAUGUUGCCAGCGCGUUAUGGCGGGGACUCAUGGGAGACUGCCGGGGUCAACUCGGAGGAAGGUGGGGAUGACGUCAAGUCAUCAUGCCCCUUAUGUCCAGGGCUUCGACACGAUGCUACAAUGGCCGGUACAGAGGGCUGCUAAGCCGUGAGGUGGAGCGAAUCCACAAAGCCGGUCUCAGUUCGGAUCGGGGUCUGC